UACGUAGGGGGCAAGCGUUGUCCGGAAUCAUUGGGCGUAAAGAGCGUGUAGGCGGUCCGGUAAGUCGGUUGUGAAAGUCCAGGGCUCAACCCUGGGAUGCCGACCGAUACUGUCGGACUAGAGUUCGGAAGAGGCGAGUGGAAUUCCCGGUGUAGCGGUGAAAUGCGCAGAUAUCAGGAAGAACACCUAUGGCGAAAGCAGCUCUCUGGGACGGUACUGACGCUGAGACGCGAAAGCGUGGGGAGCGAACAGG
RNAcentral lists this ribosomal RNA (253 nucleotides) under uncultured bacterium. Its description in RNAcentral is "partial 16S ribosomal RNA". It matches the Rfam family "Bacterial small subunit ribosomal RNA", at positions 524 to 776 of the family's 1533-position model. The record is from RNAcentral.